UACGGUCACAUCAUGUUGAAACACCGAUCAUCGUAGUUAAGCAACGUUGAGUCUGGUCAGUACCUAGAUGGGUGACCACUUGGAAAUACCAGGUGUUGUAAU
Acanthosepion pharaonis is the source of this 102-nucleotide non-coding RNA. The record is from the annotation of a GenBank genome assembly. Lineage: Eukaryota; Metazoa; Mollusca; Cephalopoda; Sepiida; Sepiidae.